GUGCUGCCUUUGAGCAGUGCCUGAGUGUGGCGCUGGGGUUAAGCUGCUGCACCAGAGCACGUGAUUAUGCAUAACUGGGGCCUUCAGCUCCCUGUGGGGUUUGGGGGGCCCUUUAAACCACAGUGACAUGA
Molecule: small nucleolar RNA, 131 nt
Organism: Trichechus manatus latirostris (Florida manatee)
Lineage: Eukaryota; Metazoa; Chordata; Mammalia; Sirenia; Trichechidae
Source: RefSeq, a predicted model, not a curated record